RNAcentral lists this ribosomal RNA (252 nucleotides) under uncultured bacterium. RNAcentral's name for it is "partial 16S ribosomal RNA". It matches the Rfam family "Bacterial small subunit ribosomal RNA", at positions 524 to 776 of the family's 1533-position model. The record is from RNAcentral.
UACAGAGGGGCAAGCGUUGUUCGGAAUUACUGGGCGUAAAGGGCGCGUAGGCGGCCUGUUAAGUCGAACGUGAAAUCCCCGGGCUCAACCCGGGAACUGCGUCCGAUACUGGCAGGCUUGAAUCCGGGAGAGGGAUGCGGAAUUCCAGGUGUAGCGGUGAAAUGCGUAGAUAUCUGGAGGAACACCGGUGGCGAAGGCGGCAUCCUGGACCGGCAUUGACGCUGAGGCGCGAAAGCGUGGGGAGCAAACAGG